RNAcentral lists this transfer RNA (68 nucleotides) under Marmota monax (woodchuck). Its description in RNAcentral is "tRNA.Ala". The record is from RNAcentral. Lineage: Eukaryota; Metazoa; Chordata; Mammalia; Rodentia; Sciuridae.
GGAUUGUGGCUCAGCGGUAGAGCAUUUGCCUAGCAUGUGCGAGGGCCUGGGUUCAAUCCUCAGCACCA